AUACGGAGGAUCCGAGCGUUAUCCGGAUUUAUUGGGUUUAAAGGGUGCGCAGGCGGCCAUUUAAGUCAGCGGUUAAAUCGUGGGGCUCAACCCCAUUCUGCCGUUGAUACUGGGUGGCUUGAUUGCGGUCGAGGUUGGCGGAAUUCGUUGUGUAGCGGUGAAAUGCAUAGAUAUGACGAAGAACACCGAUUGCGUAGGCAGCUGACCAGACCGCAAAUGACGCUCAUGCACGAAAGUGCGGGGAUCGAACAGGAUUAGAUACCCUGGUAGUCCGCACAGUAAACGAUGAAUACUUGUUUUCGGCGAUAUAAUGUCGGAGGCAAAGCGAAAGCGAUAAGUCAUCCACCUGGGGAGUACGACCGCAAGGUUGAAACUCAAAGGAAUUGACGGGG
RNAcentral lists this ribosomal RNA (392 nucleotides) under uncultured bacterium. Its description in RNAcentral is "partial 16S ribosomal RNA". It matches the Rfam family "Bacterial small subunit ribosomal RNA", at positions 523 to 918 of the family's 1533-position model. The record is from RNAcentral.